AGUGAACGCUGGCGGUAGGCCUAACACAUGCAAGUCGAACGGCAGCACAGUAAGAGCUUGCUCUUACGGGUGGCGAGUGGCGGACGGGUGAGGAAUACAUCGGAAUCUACUUUUUCGUGGGGGAUAACGUAGGGAAACUUACGCUAAUACCGCAUACGACCUACGGGUGAAAGCAGGGGAUCUUCGGACCUUGCGCGAUUGAAUGAGCCGAUGUCGGCUUAGCUAGUUGGCGGGGUAAAGGCCCACCAAGGCGACGAUCCGUAGCUGGUCUGAGAGGAUGAUCAGCCACCCUGGAACUGAGACACGGUCCAGACUCCUACGGGAGGCAGCAGUGGGGAAUAUUGGACAAUGGGCGCAAGCCUGAUCCAGCCAUACCGCGUGGGUGAAGAAGGCCUUCGGGUUGUAAAGCCCUUUUGUUGGGAAAGAAAAGCAGCAGGUUAAUACCCCGCUGUUCUGACGGUACCCAAAGAAUAAGCACCGGCUAACUUCGUG
RNAcentral lists this ribosomal RNA (492 nucleotides) under uncultured bacterium. RNAcentral describes it as "partial 16S ribosomal RNA". It matches the Rfam family "Bacterial small subunit ribosomal RNA", at positions 29 to 507 of the family's 1533-position model. The record is from RNAcentral.